This 653-nucleotide long non-coding RNA is filed under the name Homo sapiens (human). RNAcentral's name for it is "HSALNT0399005". The record is from RNAcentral. Lineage: Eukaryota; Metazoa; Chordata; Mammalia; Primates; Hominidae.
GGGAGGUGAGGUCCUGGGCGGCCGCUGGCCACCAGGCGGAAGUGCGUACCGGAAGUGCCGGCGGCAGUGUGUAAGACGCUCACGGGCGCGCGGACUAUCGGGCGGCUAGGCUCUCUGAGGAGGCUGCCACAGUGAUCCUUUUGUCUUUGUCUUCAUUUCUGCCUUCGUUCUCCUUCGUUUGGUCCAGAAGCAACCGUGACAAGUGGUGCCCGACCAGGGACCUGAACGAGGAAGGUCUGCCAGAGCAGAGAAAGUGAAACUGAUCAGACGAACUACGAACCCCUGGACGGGAGAGUCUGCCGGCGGAGAAUAUAAGGAGAUGGACAAACCGUGUGGGUGCCCUCCAGGUGUGUGUGACCAUGGAACGGGAGACCGGAGGGAUCCAUGGUAUUCAACCGUGGGCCUGUUACCUCCAGUACGAGCCAUGAGCCAGCGGAAUCUGAAUGCAAAGACAGAACAAGGGCCGACCGGAGUCACAAUGACAUCCAACCCCAUAACAUGGGGACAGAUCAAGAAAACGACACAAGAAGCUGAGAAACUACUGGAGCGCCAGGGUCAGGCAAAAACCCCUGACUCCAUGUUCUUGGCCAUGCUAGCUGUAGUGUCCUGUGCGUCUAUAGGAUCGGGUGAACCACCAACCGGCAAUUGAAAGC